This 260-nucleotide ribosomal RNA is filed under the name uncultured Stichotrichia. RNAcentral describes it as "partial Bacterial large subunit ribosomal RNA". It matches the Rfam family "Bacterial large subunit ribosomal RNA", at positions 1677 to 1945 of the family's 2925-position model. The record is from RNAcentral. Lineage: Eukaryota; Ciliophora; Spirotrichea.
AAUACCAAGGCGCUUGAGAGAACGAUGUUGAAGGAACUCGGCAAAAUACCUCCGUAAGUUCGCGAGAAGGAGGCCCGGGUUCAAGGCAACUUGGAUCCGGGGGCACAAACCAGGGGGUGGCGACUGUUUAUUAAAAACACAGGGCUCUGCGAAGCCGCAAGGCGACGUAUAGGGUCUGACGCCUGCCCGGUGCCUGAAGGUUAAAAGGAGGGGUGAGAGCUCCGAAUUGAAGCCCAGGUAAACGGCGGCCGUAACAAUAA